CCUACGGGAGGCAGCAGUGAGGAAUAUUGGUCAAUGGCCGGAAGGCUGAACCAGCCAUGCCGCGUGAAGGUCAGUGCCCUAUGGGCGUUAAACUUCUUUUGUGCGUGAGCAAUACUGGUCACGUGUGGCCAGACGAGAGUACCCUACGAAUAAGCAUCGGCUAACUCCGUGCCAGCAGCCGCGGUAAUACGGGGGAUGCAAGCGUUAUCCGGAUUUAUUGGGUUUAAAGGGUGCGUAGGCUGUGAGGUAAGUCAGCGGUGAAAUGCCCCCGCUCAACGGGGUGAAGUGCCAUUGAUACUGCCGUGCUGGAAUGCGGAUGCCGUAGGAGGAAUGUGUGGUGUAGCGGUGAAAUGCAUAGAUAUCACACAGAACACCGAUUGCGAAGGCAUCUCACGAAUCCGCGAUUGACGCUGAUGCACGAAAGCGUGGGUAUCAAACAGGAUUAGAUACCCUGGUAGUC
RNAcentral lists this ribosomal RNA (460 nucleotides) under uncultured bacterium. RNAcentral's name for it is "partial 16S ribosomal RNA". It matches the Rfam family "Bacterial small subunit ribosomal RNA", at positions 338 to 795 of the family's 1533-position model. The record is from RNAcentral.